This 396-nucleotide ribosomal RNA is filed under the name uncultured bacterium. RNAcentral describes it as "bacterial SSU rRNA". It matches the Rfam family "Bacterial small subunit ribosomal RNA", at positions 29 to 428 of the family's 1533-position model. The record is from RNAcentral.
AUUGAACGCUGGCGGCAUGCCUUACACAUGCAAGUCGAACGGUAACGCGGGGCAACCUGGCGACGAGUGGCGAACGGGUGAGUAAUGCAUCGGAACGUACCCAGUAGUGGGGGAUAGCCCGGCGAAAGCCGGAUUAAUACCGCAUACGACCUACGGGUGAAAGGGGGGGAUCGCAAGACCUCUCGCUAUUGGAGCGGCCGAUGUCAGAUUAGGUAGUUGGUGGGGUAAAAGCCUACCAAGCCUGUGAUCUGUAGCUGGUCUGAGAGGACGACCAGCCACACUGGGACUGAGACACGGCCCAGACUUCCUACGGGAGGCAGCAGUGGGGGAAUUUUGGACAAUGGGCGCAAGCCUGAUCCAGCAAUGCCGCGUGCGGGAAGAAGGCCUCGGUUGUAA